This 116-nucleotide ribosomal RNA is filed under the name Lepisosteus oculatus (spotted gar). The record is from RNAcentral. Lineage: Eukaryota; Metazoa; Chordata; Actinopteri; Semionotiformes; Lepisosteidae.
GACAGCAGCCAUAUCAUCCAACUUAAAAUUGGCAACCCACUGAAGCUAAGCAGGUGUGAGCCUGGUCAGUACCUGGAUGGGAGACAUCCUGGGAAAAACUAAGGUUGCUGCUGGAA